CCUACGGGGGGCAGCAGUGAGGAAUAUUGGUCAAUGGACGAGAGUCUGAACCAGCCAAGUAGCGUGAAGGAUGACUGCCCUAUGGGUUGUAAACUUCUUUUAUAUGGGAAUAAAACAGGGUAUGCAUACCCUCUUGUAUGUACCAUAUGAAUAAGGAUCGGCUAACUCCGUGCCAGCAGCCGCGGUAAUACGGAGGAUCCGAGCGUUAUCCGGAUUUAUUGGGGUUAAAGGGAGCGUAGGUGGAUUGUUAAGUCAGUUGUAAAAGUUUGCGGCUCAACCGUAAAAUUGCAGUUGAAACUGGCAGUCUUGAGUACAGUAGAGGUGUGCGGAAUUCGUGGUGUAGCGGUGAAAUGCUUAGAUAUCACGAAGAACUCCGAUUGCGAAGGCAGCUCACUGGACUGCAACUGACACUGAUGCUCGAAAGUGUGGGUAUCAAACAGGAUUAGAUACCCCAGUAGUC
This 460-nucleotide ribosomal RNA is filed under the name uncultured bacterium. RNAcentral's name for it is "partial 16S ribosomal RNA". It matches the Rfam family "Bacterial small subunit ribosomal RNA", at positions 338 to 795 of the family's 1533-position model. The record is from RNAcentral.